Long non-coding RNA from Drosophila miranda, 1332 nucleotides. RefSeq lists it as uncharacterized. The record is from RefSeq and is a predicted model, not a curated record. The transcript has 2 exons. Lineage: Eukaryota; Metazoa; Arthropoda; Insecta; Diptera; Drosophilidae.
AGCUAGCUGAGACACUCAACUCUGAACUCAUAAUUUCAUUCGAUUAUUUCAAUUUCCUAAAUUUAAGUUGUCACCUUUUUCCACAGAGAUCUAAAACCAAGCGGAAAUUAUAUAUUUUUUCCUACAAAACUGUUUGUUCUAGUUAACGAAAUUUCGUCUUCAUUUAAUUACAGGAUGCAGUGUCUUCGUGUCGAACGGAUCAGAGCCUCAGCGAGCUCUUGGUGUUCUUUCUAAAGCGAAUAAAGUGCAUUCCUGAUAAUUUCCGAGUGUAUUGCGGAUGUGGAGAAAGUCGGCCUGAAGGCAAACAGAUAUUUCCAAGCACCGACCCCUGCGCCACUCGUCGUCGUCGUCUGGACUUCCCACUGCGCCCACUGGGUGGGGGUACUGGCUGGGCCCAUCAUACUCGCGCUUCUUUUCAAGCUUAUCUACGACAUUAGCAAAAUACGACGCGCAACAUACAUAUGUUGGAGUGGAUCCGGCAGAAAAACCGGAGCCUGCCGAAGGGGAAGGACUGGUGCCCGCAGAGCCCGAAAGGACGACGCAUGGUAUUGGGAUCCGCUUCGUGGAUUUAAUCUGCAUUGAUUUCGUUGCUAUUGUUGAUAUUGCGGCGAGAGGAAUCGGACACGGCGGCACUGAGCUCAGCUCAUCCCAACUGACGCCCGAGUCCUCGGAUGCCUCGGAUGGUGGAGUGACUUCUACUUAGGCAGCUGCCGGUUGUUGCUGCUGCGCCUGAUUGCUGUUGUUGUUGUUGUCGGAUCGGAAACGCUUCUCCUCCAAGGCCCACCCGCCCGGGCUCCGAGUCGAAAGCGUGGUAACUGUUCAGCUUUUGGAUGGCUUUCAGGUAAGCCAAACGCUCGGGCGACUUCAUCUUCGGGUCCUCGAGCUCUGCAGGGGCUGCUGCUGCUGAAGCUCUGGACCCCAUUCUGGAUAUCUGCUGUAUCCUGUGUCCCUUCUGGCGUGCUGCCUGCCACUCGGUUCCUCAAGGAACCGUGUCUGUUUCUGCUUCUGCAUCUGUGAGCCGUGCACGCGAUUCGUCCGGAACAUGCGUUGGCCUUCCGCUGGGGAGAUGAUCUCAUUAUCGCCAUUUGGCUUCUUUUGCGGCGACAGCUGCUGCUGCCAGUCGUAUUUGCCGGGAGUCGACCAUUUGUUCCUUGUAGCCUUGGAAGGACUUUCUUUGGCUGCCAGCAUGGCCUUGCGCUCGAUCUCCUUGGUCCUGGCCAUCCACCUCUCUCUCUGAUCGGAAAAGCUUUCCUUAAGGGAAACUGCAAGAGAAGGAGGAUAUACCAUUGCCAUUCUGAGCAGAAAAAAGUACACGAAAGUCUCACCUGUCUU